GUAAAUAUAGUAUAACAAAAAUAUAUCAAACUGUGGAUCUGAAGCUGAGAGUGAGAAUCCCUCUAUUUACC
Molecule: transfer RNA, 71 nt
Filed under: Clypeobarbus pleuropholis
Lineage: Eukaryota; Metazoa; Chordata; Actinopteri; Cypriniformes; Cyprinidae
Description: tRNA-His
Rfam family: tRNA
About the family: Transfer RNA (tRNA) molecules are approximately 80 nucleotides in length. Their secondary structure includes four short double-helical elements and three loops (D, anti-codon, and T loops).
Source: RNAcentral